GCUUGAUUGUGAGGAAGGAGGGUCAAAGACAGGUGAGCAGCGGCAGACAACAUUGACUUCUUGCUUGGGCAUCUGGUCAACAGAGAGCGUGCCCUUCCCAUCACAACAAAAAGUCUGCAGGUAAAGACCAACUCUGCCAGCGGCGCGUCUCCAGCCUCUGCCGACGUUCCACUGGCAAAGCGUGCCUCAACUCCGGCCAACUCAGAUUCAAGAGUAAGCAAGAAAAAACGCCCCGGGAGGCUGUGCCAUUCUGUGCUGUGGAUCCGGCAGUUGAAGAACUAACUGUGACCCUGCCGCCCAGCUUAGGACUAUAUUGUGACCAUCGGCAGGGAUGCGGGUGUUCUAAAGAGACACGCGUAUCCCUCCUGUAGUUUCAAUCAGACAAUUGAAACAGUGGUCCCUAAGAAAUUGGAAUUUCCCCGGAAAUCACGUGCAAAAAGGAGGAGAAGGUGGUGCCCGCCAGAGGGAGAGCUCGUCUCCUGGGACGAGGCUUCGCACAGCUGGCAGCUGCCAAGACCACCUUGGGAGAGACUGGGCAUGGGACAGUGAUGGGAGCGGCUACAUCUGACCAGGGCUGCUCAACUCUGAGAACCCCUGGCCUCUGCUCAGUCUAAACUUCCUGUCAGGAGCCGGAAGAAGGGCUUGGGCAGGGGAGAUGGGAGUCACUGAAUCUCUGCCCCUCUACCUAGUGGGACCACUUGAAAAAAUACCCGCCUGUUCCCCUGGGGGCUGGGGAGAUGGUCUAUUGAUUAAGAGUACUAGCUGUUCUUCCAGAUGACCCGAGUUCAGUUCCCAGCACGCACAUGUCAGCUCACAACAGGCCCAGGGAUCUAAUGACCUCUUAUGGCCUCUUCAGACACUACACAUAUGUGAUACACAGACAUACAUGGAGACAAAAACUCAUACACAUAAAACAAUAAAAUAAAAUUUUUAAAUAUA
This is a non-coding RNA of Peromyscus maniculatus bairdii (prairie deer mouse), 939 nucleotides long. The record is from RefSeq and is a predicted model, not a curated record. Lineage: Eukaryota; Metazoa; Chordata; Mammalia; Rodentia; Cricetidae.